Long non-coding RNA from Marmota monax (woodchuck), 1773 nucleotides. RefSeq lists it as uncharacterized. Lineage: Eukaryota; Metazoa; Chordata; Mammalia; Rodentia; Sciuridae. The record is from RefSeq and is a predicted model, not a curated record. The transcript is spliced from 4 exons.
AUAAUGCAGCAAUUUAAGAGAUGGGUAAUGGAAAGACUGAGGAUCAUAUCAUGGAAUUAAAACCUUAUCUCACCAGAAGGAAGUAACCCAGUGAGCUACAAAUGUGUGUGUGUGUGUGUGCGCGCACGCGCGCGUGCGUGCACAUGCAAUAGUAGAAGAAUAUUAUUUUGAGAUGUGGAGAUUAACAAGCAGAGGAACUAAAAACAGAAGCCAUUGAAGCAGCGGUGUGGUCCAAGGAGCAGGACUGGGAGAUGGAUCCGGUCGGGAUGGCUAAUUCGCUUUUAUUACACACUCUUCUUUACUACUUGAUUUUUCAAAAAACCAUGUGCGACAUUUUUGUUUUUUAAAGGACGAUCUCCAAAACUCUGAAUGGUGCUCUCUAGUUGAGAAAGACCUCCUCUGAGCUGUGGUGCAUCUCUGCCUAGUCACAAUCAGUCCUUCUUCAGGAACCAUACCAGUGAGGCCACAGGUGAUGAGCAGUGGAGCAAGAGUUAGAACUGAACAGCUUAUCAUGGGCCGGUAUGAAGGAGUGAGAGGUUGAACGAGGGGAAUCAGGGACAUGCACACUGACCACAGGUGAUGAGCAGUGGAACAAGAGUUAGAACUGAACAGCUUCUCAUGGGCCGGUGUUGAAGGAGUGAGAUGAAAAAACUGAUGAGAACUUGAGAGAUUAACAGACCAGAAAGAGAUCAGGACCCAAGUAAAGAAGAAUUCCUACCACCAGAACAAUGUGCCAUGGUAACACUCUGCCCAUGGGAAAUCCAUCUGCAUGUUUUCAAUAUAUUGCACCUUCUGCUCCAAAGAGCACUGAAGAGCCUUUGUUAUCAACCUCAGAAGCAAGAGAAAUAUAACGACAGUAGCUGGAAACAAAUUAACUUGAUGACCAAGAAGUCUGAAGGAAGAGUAGGCCUUGGUGGCACUAAGGACAUCACUGGGACAUGGUCCUGCUCCCUGCAUGGCUCAGGUCUGCUUUCUUAGCGGGCCCCACUAUUUGGCAGACUUCCUCUCAUGGUCCUAAGAUGGCUGCCUAUGCUCCAGAAUGAAAGCCUAUUUGCUCAGGAAUCCUAAUAGAAGGAGAUUCUCCUCCCAGCAGAUCCAGAAAAGACCUACAACCAAGUAUUACCAACUGUGGUAGGCAGAAUAAUGCCCCUAAAGAUAUCCACAUUCUAAUUUCCAGAACCUGUGACUAUGACCACAUUAUAUGACAAAAGGGAUUUGCAGAUUUGAUGAAGGACCUUGAGAUAAAAGAAAUGCCCUGGAUCAUCCAGGUGAGUCCAAUGUCACCAAGGAGCCUUAAAAGUAGAAACUAACGGCCCAGAGGGUGAGAUGUGACUACAGAAGUAGUCAGAUUGAUAAAAUGUGAGGAGGACUGAGCCCGCUGCUGCUGGCACUGAAGAUAGAGCAAGAGGCCAUGUGGACACUGGUCAGGCUCCAGAAGCCUGGAGAGCAAGGACUAGUUCCUCCUAGAGGCUCCAGAGAGGAACUCUGCCUUACUAACACCUUGACAUUAACUCUGUGAAAUGUCUGAUCUAGCCUCCAGAACUGUGAGAUAAUGAAUCAUGAGAUAAUAAAUCUAUGUUAAUUUAGAAGACACUAAGCUUACGGUAAACUGUUACAUAUUGCUAACAAUAUAGCUGUACCACAUACACGUGCAUAUAUAUACUGCUGUAACACUUUACCACAAACUCAGCAUCACACACACAAACAUACUCACCCUGACUGAUCUAAUCUGGUUCACUCACUUUGCCUGAAACGAUGGUUCAUAAAAUCCAA